Molecule: ribosomal RNA, 253 nt
Filed under: uncultured bacterium
Lineage: Bacteria
Description: partial 16S ribosomal RNA
Rfam family: Bacterial small subunit ribosomal RNA
Source: RNAcentral
UACGGAGGGUGCAAGCGUUAAUCGGAAUCACUGGGCGUAAAGCGCGCGUAGGCGGUUUAGUAAGUCAGAGGUGAAAUCCCACGGCUCAACCGUGGAACUGCCUUUGAUACUGCUUUGCUUGAGUUUGUGAGAGGAUAGUGGAAUUCCAGGUGUAGGAGUGAAAUCCGUAGAGAUCUGGAGGAACAUCAGUGGCAAAGGCGACUAUCUGGCACAACACUGACGCUGAGGUGCGAAAGCGUGGGUAGCAAACAGG